UACCAGCUCUUCGAGUGGUGUGGAUGUUUAUUAGGCCUAAAGCAUCCGUAGCUGGCUGGGCAAGUCCCCUGUUAAAUCCACCGAUUUAUCGUUGGAGUGCGGGGGAUACUGUUCGGCUAGGGGACGGGAGAGGCAGACGGUAUUUUCGGGGUAGGGGUGAAAUCCUAUAAUCCCGAGAAGACCACCAGUGGCGAAGGCUGUCUGCUAGAACGCGCCCGACGGUGAGGGAUGAAAGCUGGGGGAGCGAACCGGAUUAGAUACCCGGGUAGUCCCAGCUGUAUACGAUGCAGGCUAGGUGCUUGGACGGCCACGUGCCGUUCUAGUGCCGCAGGGGAGCCGUUAAGCCUGCCGCCUGGGGAGUACGGCCGCAAGGCUGAAACUUAAAGGAAUUGGCGGGGAGCACCACAAGGGGUGAAGCUUGCGGUUU
Molecule: ribosomal RNA, 427 nt
Filed under: uncultured archaeon
Lineage: Archaea
Description: bacterial SSU rRNA
Rfam family: Archaeal small subunit ribosomal RNA
Source: RNAcentral